This 401-nucleotide ribosomal RNA is filed under the name uncultured bacterium. RNAcentral's name for it is "bacterial SSU rRNA". It matches the Rfam family "Bacterial small subunit ribosomal RNA", at positions 29 to 462 of the family's 1533-position model. The record is from RNAcentral.
AACGAACGCUGGCGGCAGGCUUAACACAUGCAAGUCGAACGAUCUCUUCGGAGAUAGUGGCAGACGGGUGAGUAACGCGUGGGAACCUACCUUAUUCUACGGAAUAACACAGAGAAAUUUGUGCUAAAUACCGUAUACGCCCUUUGGGGGAAAGAUUUAUCGGAGUAAGAUGGGCCCGCGUUGGAUUAGCUAGUUGGUGGGGUAAUGGCCUACCAAGGCGACGAUCUAUAGCUGGUCUGAGAGGAUGAUCAGCCACACUGGGACUGAGACACGGCCCAGACUCCUACGGGAGGCAGCAGUGGGGAAUAUUGGACAAUGGGCGCAAGCCUGAUCCAGCCAUGCCGCGUGAGUGAUGAAGCUAGGUGUAAGCUCUUAGUGAAGAUAAUGACGUAACCGUAGAA